Molecule: ribosomal RNA, 433 nt
Filed under: uncultured bacterium
Lineage: Bacteria
Description: partial 16S ribosomal RNA
Rfam family: Bacterial small subunit ribosomal RNA
Source: RNAcentral
AACGAACGCUGGCGGCAUGCCUAACACAUGCAAGUCGAACGAGACCUUCGGGUCUAGUGGCGCACGGGUGCGUAACGCGUGGGAACCUGCCCUUAGGUUCGGAAUAACUCCCCGAAAGGGGUGCUAAUACCGGAUAAUGUCUUCGGACCAAAGAGUUAUCGCCUUUGGAUGGGCCCGCGUUGGAUUAGCUAGUUGGUAGGGUAAAAGCCUACCAAGGCGACGAUCCAUAGCUGGUCUGAGAGGAUGAUCAGCCACACUGGAACUGAGACACGGCCCAGACUCCUACGGGAGGCAGCAGUGGGGAAUAUAGGAAAAUGGGCGAAGGCCUGAUGCAGCAAUGCCGCGUGAGUGAUGAAGGCCUUGGAGAUGUAAAGCUCUAUUACCCGGGAUGAUAAUGACGGUACCGGGAGAAUAAGCUCCGGCUAACUCCGUG